Molecule: ribosomal RNA, 402 nt
Filed under: uncultured bacterium
Lineage: Bacteria
Description: bacterial SSU rRNA
Rfam family: Bacterial small subunit ribosomal RNA
Source: RNAcentral
UGGGGAAUAUUGGACAAUGGGGGAAACCCUGAUCCAGCAAUGCCGCGUGAGUGAAGAAGGCCUUAGGGUUGUAAAGCUCUUUCGCCCGCGAAGAUAAUGACGGUAGCGGGAGAAGAAGCCCCGGCUAACUCCGUGCCAGCAGCCGCGGUAAUACGGAGGGGGCUAGCGUUGUUCGGAAUUACUGGGCGUAAAGCGUACGUAGGCGGAUGCGCAAGUUGGGGGUGAAAUCCCGGGGCUUAACCUCGGAAUUGCCCUCAAAACUGCACGUCUUGAGACCGAGAGAGGUAAGGAGAAUGCCUAGUGUAGAGGUGAAAUUCGUAGAUAUUAGGAAUAACACCAGUGGCGAAGGCGCCUUACUGGCUCGGUACUGACGCUGAGGUACGAAAGCGUGGGGAGCAAACA